GCCAAGGGCAUAGCAGGGUAGCUAUAUAUGGACGGGAUAACCGCUGAAGGCAUCUAAGCGGGAAACCCACCUGAAAACGAGUGUUCCCUAUCAGAGCCGUGGAAGACGACCACGUUGAUAGGCCGGGUGUGGAAGUGCGGCAACGCAUGAAGCUUACCGGUACUAAUAGCUCGAUCGGCUUGAUCGUUCUCAUU
Molecule: ribosomal RNA, 194 nt
Filed under: Pseudomonas sp. BG5
Lineage: Bacteria; Pseudomonadati; Pseudomonadota; Gammaproteobacteria; Pseudomonadales; Pseudomonadaceae
Description: Pseudomonas sp. BGM005 partial 23S ribosomal RNA
Rfam family: Bacterial large subunit ribosomal RNA
Source: RNAcentral